UGGUGGAGUGAUUUGUCUGCUUAAUUGCGAUAACGAACGAGACCUUAACCUGCUAAAUAGCCCGUAUUGCUUAGGCAGUACGCCGGCUUCUUAGAGGGACUAUCGGCUCAAGCCGAUGGAAGUUUGAGGCAAUAACA
Molecule: ribosomal RNA, 137 nt
Filed under: uncultured eukaryote
Lineage: Eukaryota
Description: partial 18S ribosomal RNA
Rfam family: Eukaryotic small subunit ribosomal RNA
Source: RNAcentral